UAUUUAAAUAUUUGUUAAAUGUUAGUUGGGUUGAGAUCCACGAAUUACUGUUGGGAAGAAAGUGUUUUGAGACGAUGCAGGAAAGUCGGAGAUACAGUUGGCAGCGGGAAGUAAUAGGACAUGCAAUAUGCAUCAUGGACGAAACUACCCUUUGUGUUGUGCAUGUUACAUGAUCCCUUCUCGUUGAUGUUUCAGUUUGUUACGCGCGAAGUGAAAGAAGUAACAAGAAUGAUACCAGAGCAAUGGGCAUCUCCAUGUGGUGGCCAAUGCAACAACAAAUACGCAGCACUCACCCAAAUCCCAUGGAGAGUAUUCUGCAAAAAGGGUUGUGAUGCAGAUGGAGACACAUGGGAAGAAUGUUUGGAGGAGUGCAAUCAAUUAUGCUACAAGGACCCUGUACUCGAGAACCAGAAGUGGAGUGCGUAUAUUGAUCGUUCUCCUGGAUCUGAAAGUUAUUCUGAGGCAAUUUAAUUUCCUUUUCUAGUUAUAUAUGUUACAACAUGCUUUGUCAUUUAAUUAAUAUUAAUAGGAUUAAUUCAUGUUUCCCUUCAUGUACAGGAAUGUUUCCAUGCUUGUGUAUCUGGCUGCAGUUACAGGUUUGAGGUUGAAGCAGAAAUAGCUGAUAAAGUUAUUCCUAAUAGGCCACCAAAGUCUGAGCCUGAGCCUCAGCCUGUAAAGAAGCAGAAGCCACAAUAUGAAGACCCUAAAUACCCGGAUACUUCUGCAUAGAUAGGAAUUAGUUUGAUGUUACAUCCUGCUAUUGUUAUAUGGAAUUUUCAUUGGUAGCAUAACUAGUGUGUAACCACUGCAUGCAUGGUUUUAUUUAAAGAUAGUUGGUUGAGCUAGGUUUGUAGUUUUCUAUCUGGUCAGUAACUUCAUGAAUCUCAGAUGAAAUCUUGGUGAAUAAUAGCAGCUUC
Molecule: non-coding RNA, 917 nt
Organism: Arachis ipaensis
Lineage: Eukaryota; Viridiplantae; Streptophyta; Magnoliopsida; Fabales; Fabaceae
Source: RefSeq, a predicted model, not a curated record